UCUGAAACGAGGUUGAACCGGUAGUGUAAGGACUACCUGAAAAACCAUAUUGGUUGGGUCCCUCAUAUUUGCUAAUGGUAACAUUUCUGGCGAACCUGAUGCCAUUUAAUUUUGCCACUGCUGCCCAACACUUUGAACGUUAUUAGUAGUAAAUGAUGCGCGUUGUGUGCAAGUCUGAAUUUACAGACUGAAGUAAACUUGCAGCAAAGCUAAUGUUAGAAACGGGAUAUAUGGAAUUGAUAUUAAGCAUCAUGACGAUAUGCUUUGAAGUUCAUGCUAAGGUUACAAUUCGAUGGCGUGAAGAUCGUCUGAUUGCCGUUUUAUGAAUGGCUCGUUUUAAGCAACCACUCAUGCAUGGGAUGCCACGACAGAAGAGACAAAGCAGGUUAAAGUUGCCUCUGGUCUCAUCACUUGAUUUUUCUGGACGCCGCACUUUGACUUCAGGUAGGAGAUGCAGAGCUUGCCUCUGUUACAUGGAUUCAGGUAGGAGACGCGACACACUUACCGCCGUUCCAUCGCGAUCUAAAUAUGUGUGCAUACAAGGGAAAUGAUAUCAAUGCAUUGGUUGAUGAUGAAAUUGUUGGGUCAACUUUUGGUUCGGGUCAUAUUACGUGCCGUAAUGUGUUGACUGUCACUUACAGAAUCUUAAGAUCCAAAAGUUGGGUUCAAUGUGGACUCCUUGUCAAAUGAGUGUUCUGGCUAUUCAACGCUGUGGCCGGUGACUCUGACAUGCAAAUGAGGGGUCAAACGUUCUGUGGGGGUCACUGAUGCACAAAAUGGCAGAAAAGCACAACUAUCGGUUUCGGGGAAACGAUACAAGGUUUCUUGCAAGGUGGUAAUAUUACAGAGAUUUGAAAAAUCUCUCUCUGGGUUCGUUGAAAGGUGUGGUGAAAAAGGUUGCACGCAAUACUUUUCAAGGUCGGAGAAGCGGCGCGCUUACCACCGUUCCAUCGCGAUAUAAAUAUGUGUGCAUACAAGGGAAAUGUUAUCAAUGCAUUGGUUGAUGACGAAAUUGUUGGGCAAACUUUUGGUUCGUGUCGUAUUG
Molecule: long non-coding RNA, 1045 nt
Organism: Hippocampus zosterae (dwarf seahorse)
Lineage: Eukaryota; Metazoa; Chordata; Actinopteri; Syngnathiformes; Syngnathidae
Exons: 5
Source: RefSeq, a predicted model, not a curated record